UACGUAGGGGGCAAGCGUUGUCCGGAAUCAUUGGGCGUAAAGAGCGUGUAGGCGGCCCUGUAAGUCCGCUGUGAAAGUCCAGGGCUCAACCCUGGGAUGCCGGUGGAUACUGUCGGGCUCGAGUCCGUAAGAGGAGUGUGGAAUUCCUGGUGUAGCGGUGAAAUGCGCAGAUAUCAGGAGGAACACCAAUGGCGAAGGCAGCACUCUGGGACGUGACUGACGCUGAGACGCGAAAGCGUGGGGAGCAAACAGG
RNAcentral lists this ribosomal RNA (253 nucleotides) under uncultured bacterium. Its description in RNAcentral is "partial 16S ribosomal RNA". It matches the Rfam family "Bacterial small subunit ribosomal RNA", at positions 524 to 776 of the family's 1533-position model. The record is from RNAcentral.